Molecule: small RNA, 553 nt
Filed under: Pan troglodytes (chimpanzee)
Lineage: Eukaryota; Metazoa; Chordata; Mammalia; Primates; Hominidae
Description: retained intron
Source: RNAcentral
GCCCUGGCUGACAUGGUCAUAGAAGACCCACGAGCCUCAGGGACGCCAGGGAAAGUUUAGGGCCCAAAAUGGAGGCAGGAGAUGGUGCCAUGGAAGGAGCUUGUCACAGCCCGUGGAGGACCAGGGGGUCUCCACCCAGCUACUUGCGCCCUCUGGCAGCGUGUGCUUCUCCUACACUGGCACGCCCUGGAAGUUGUUCCUACGCAAGGAGGUGUUCUACCCACGGGAGAACUUCAGCCAUCCCUACUACCUGCGGCUCCUCUGUGAGCAGAUCCUACGGGACACCUUCUCUGAGUCCUGUAUCCGGAUUUCCCAGAAUGAGCGGCGGAAAAUGAAAGACCUGCUGGGAGGCUUGGAGGUGGACCUGGAUUCUCUCACCACCACUGAAGACAGCGUCAAGAAGCGCAUCGUGGUGGCCGCUCGGGACAACUGGGCCAAUUACUUCUCCCGCUUCUUUCCUGUCUCGGUCAGUGGCGCUGGGGUAGGGAGUAGGGAUGCCAGGCCCCCAGCCUGGAUCCUGGGGUGCAUGGGCACAGACCACAAGCAGGAGAGC